AGAAUCAACGCUGGCGGCGUGCCUAACACAUGCAAGUCGAACGAGAAAGUGGAGCAAUCCAUGAGUAAAGUGGCGCACGGGUGAGUAACACGUGACUAACCUACCCUUGAGUGGGGAAUAACCUAGGGAAACCUGGGCUAAUACCGCAUAACACCUACGGGUCAAAGGAGCAAUUCGCUUAAGGAGGGGGUCGCGGCAGAUUAGCUAGUUGGCGGGGUAAUGGCCCACCAAGGCAGUGAUCUGUAUCCGGCCUGAGAGGGCGCACGGACACACUGGAACUGAAACACGGUCCAGACUCCUACGGGAGGCAGCAGUGGGGAAUUUUGCGCAAUGGGGGAAACCCUGACGCAGCAACGCCGCGUGGAGGAUGAAGUCCCUUGGGACGUAAACUCCUUUCGACCGGGAAGAUUAUGACGGUACCGGAAGAGAAGCCCGGCUAACUUCGCGCCAGCAGCCGC
This 458-nucleotide ribosomal RNA is filed under the name uncultured bacterium. RNAcentral's name for it is "SSU rRNA". It matches the Rfam family "Bacterial small subunit ribosomal RNA", at positions 26 to 518 of the family's 1533-position model. The record is from RNAcentral.